UUUUUAUCCUUUUUCUCUACUUCAGGGCUAGUUGUCAUGUUUGGACUUGGAGAAAAACCUGGUUGUGUUGUGGGGGCUAUACUGUAAAUUUUUUUCCCUUGUUGGUUUUGUUGGGGGGGGAGUACUUGUGUUUGCAAAAAGCUAUACUGUAAAUUUUUUUACCAUGUAAAAGUCGUCAAAUUUGACUAUAAAUUUUUUCACCAUGUAAAAUUGGUUGUUAUACUGUAAAUUUUUUUGACCUUUUAAGCAGCCAAGGACCAUAUGUUUGUGUUACACUUUCAGCUUCUUAGCUAUAACACCUUCAACACAAGGAGAAAGUCCCCG
Molecule: unclassified non-coding RNA, 324 nt
Filed under: Puccinia coleataeniae
Lineage: Eukaryota; Fungi; Basidiomycota; Pucciniomycetes; Pucciniales; Pucciniaceae
Source: RNAcentral